UAUUUCUGUAACCACGAAAGU
RNAcentral lists this non-coding RNA (21 nucleotides) under Caenorhabditis elegans. The record is from RNAcentral. Lineage: Eukaryota; Metazoa; Nematoda; Chromadorea; Rhabditida; Rhabditidae.